AAACCGGGGCUAAUACCGGAUAACAUUUUGAACCGCAUGGUUCGAAAUUGAAAGGCGGCUUCGGCUGUCACUUAUGGAUGGACCCGCGUCGCAUUAGCUAGUUGGUGAGGUAACGGCUCACCAAGGCAACGAUGCGUAGCCGACCUGAGAGGGUGAUCGGCCACACUGGGACUGAGACACGGCCCAGACUCCUACGGGAGGCAGCAGUAGGGAAUCUUCCGCAAUGGACGAAAGUCUGACGGAGCAACGCCGCGUGAGUGAUGAAGGCUUUCGGGUCGUAAAACUCUGUUGUUAGGGAAGAACAAGUGCUAGUUGAAUAAGCUGGCACCUUGACGGUACCUAACCAGAAAGCCACGGCUAACUACGUGCCAGCAGCCGCGGUAAUACGUAGGUGGCAAGCGUUAUCCGGAAUUAUUGGGCGUAAAGCGCGCGCAGGUGGUUUCUUAAGUCUGAUGUGAAAGCCCACGGCUCAACCGUGGAGGGUCAUUGGAAACUGGGAGACUUGAGUGCAGAAGAGGAAAGUGGAAUUCCAUGUGUAGCGGUGAAAUGCGUAGAGAUAUGGAGG
This 565-nucleotide ribosomal RNA is filed under the name Bacillus thuringiensis. RNAcentral's name for it is "bacterial SSU rRNA". It matches the Rfam family "Bacterial small subunit ribosomal RNA", at positions 154 to 704 of the family's 1533-position model. Lineage: Bacteria; Bacillati; Bacillota; Bacilli; Caryophanales; Bacillaceae. The record is from RNAcentral.